This 217-nucleotide unclassified non-coding RNA is filed under the name plant metagenome. Its description in RNAcentral is "partial contains small subunit ribosomal RNA, internal transcribed spacer 1, and 5.8S ribosomal RNA". The record is from RNAcentral.
UCUCCGUUGGUGAACCUGCGGAGGGAUCAUUACAAGUGACCCCGGUCUUACCACCGGGAUGUUCAUAACCCUUUGUUGUCCGACUCUGUUUCCUCCGGGGCGACCCUGCCUUCGGGCGGGGGCUCCGGGUGGACACUUCAAACUCUUGCGUAACUUUGCAGUCUGAGUAAACUUAAUUAACAAAUUAAAACUUUUAACAACGGAUCUCUUGGUUCUG